AUGUCAGGUCUGAUGUCCUUGGGUUUAUAUGGGGUUCCAUGUGAGUUUUGCUGGAACAAUGGGUUCAGUUACCCCAGGUCCACAGAACAGACGUGUGGUCAGAAGUCAAGAGCUCAGCUAUCUCCAGAUGAUGAACUUUCCGCUAAGGAAAGUUUAGCAUUAUACUGCAAGCCAGUUGAGCUGUACAAUAUUAUUCGACAAAGAGCCAUUAAAAAGCCCCCUUCGCUUCAAAGAUGCCUUCGGUAUAAGAUAGAAGCAAAACGAAAAAAGAGGAUUCAGAUAUCAGUAUCGAUUUCUGGAAGCACAAAUACUCGAUUGCCAGCACAUGGUAUCUUUCCUCUCCAUGUUCUGUUAGCUAGAUCUAGUAAUGAUGCUCCAGGUGAAGGGCAUUCUCCAAUGUAUCGGUUCAGCCGGGCUUGUGUCCUGACUUCCUUCUGUGAAUCUGGAGACAGUGGCCACACUGAAGCCACAUUCACCAUCCCCAAUAUGAAGAGUUUAUCAACCUCCCAAGUUCGCAGCCUUGACAUUAUCCUUAUUAGCCGUGGCCAAGGUGGGCAAAAUCUUAGUGAAAACUGCUCAGAGAACCAUGCGGAGUAUUCUUCUCCUCAAAAGCUUGGAGGCCAAUGUUUCUGGGGUAAAAUACCAAUUGAUUCACUUGGUUCGUCUCUGGAUUCUGUAACUUUAAGUUUGGGGCAUACUGUGGAAUUAACUUCAGAAAUAAGUAUGAACCCAGGUUUCAUAGAGCCAUCACUUCUUGAGCAUGACAGUUGUUUGACAUUUUGUUCUCUAAAGGCAAAUGCUACAGGUUCAUAUAAACUAAAAGCAAGCAUAGAUGUACAAGAGGCUGGUGCAAGAGACAUGCGUUUAUCUCCUUACAAUAUUUACUCAUAUGAUGAUGUCCCACAGUCGUUACUACCAAAAAUCAUAAGGUUACGAACAGGCAAUGUGCUCUUUAACUACAAGUACUACAAAAAUUUGUACAAAAGCGAAGUUACAGAAGACUUUACUUGCUCUUUUUGCUUGGUACCAUGUGGAAGCUUCAAGGGUCUGGAAUGCCAUUUAACCUCGUCGCAUGACCUAUUCCGCUACGAGUUCUGGGUAUCUAAAGAGUACCAAGCUGUUAAUGUUAGUCUGAAGAUUGAUACCAGGAGAGAAGAGCUUCUGACUGUUGCAGGAAAUGAUCCAGGCAGUAGAGUAUUUUUCUACCGAUCAUCAAGGUUUAAAAGGUGUAAAAUAUCAGAAACGACAACUGAUAAGACGAAGGAUGUAUAUCCACAUAUCACGGAAUUAGGAUCAGCUGGAAUGACUGUGCCUGUGGACCAAGAUAUUGUGGAACCAAGAUCACCACGAAAUACAGUUCCUCCACCUGCACAAACGACUGAAUCAGGAUCGUCGAAAGAUGCCCAGGACGGGUCUGUGGUGGAUUAUGUCCCAAAGGAAAAUGGAAUCAAUGUACCAGAACGAACAGCUCUACAGUCUGAUAGGGCAAGGAAGCUCCUGGUUGAUCUAGAUGACCCCAGUCAUGCGCUGCUGAAAAAACGUGAGUUCUUCCAUUCUCAGAAGGCACAGAGAAUGGAGCUGGAUGUACUUUACUCAGAUCAUGACAGUGAAGACGAACUUGAUCAUGACAUCGCUGACUUCGAAGAUAGGACGCUGCUUGGUGGUUUUUCUGAUGUUGCAGAAGAGGAGAAGCGUAUCAUGCAUAUGUGGAAUUCGUUUAAGCGGAGACAGAGGAUAUUAGCUGAUGGUCAUGUACCUUGGGCUUGCGAGGCAUUCACCCAUCAGCAUGGACAGGAACUCGUGCAGAACCCUAGACUACGAUGGUGCUGGCGGGUCCUUAUGAUCAAGCUCUGGAACCACGGCCUGCUGAACGGCCGCACCAUGAACAUCUGCAACAAACAUCUUGAGGUCUUGGAAAGCCAACGCGCGGACCCCAAGCAAUCUUGA
This 1947-nucleotide ribosomal RNA is filed under the name Triticum aestivum (bread wheat). Its description in RNAcentral is "partial small subunit ribosomal RNA". The record is from RNAcentral. Lineage: Eukaryota; Viridiplantae; Streptophyta; Magnoliopsida; Poales; Poaceae.